CUCUUGUAUUAUUCAUCAUACUGGUGCCAUAUUAAGAAACAAUGAGCUAAUUGACAGCGCAGAACCAAGAUAAAAAAAUAUUAGUAGAACUAAUUUUUUAUGAUCCUGUUCUAUUUUCCUAUAUUACACAUCACUCUCUAGAUUCUCUGUGGAUCAACAGACAUUAUGUCCAAUCACUUGAAAUCAUUCCAUUUUGCAGGUCAGAGAUGCAGAAGUACCCACAGACAUCUUAUCACUCAUCUGAACAACACAAGCACUGAAGAAUAAGCAAUCAAAUAAUGUUUUAAAACAUUCUGAUUUUUAAAAACUUGACAUUAGGACACAAAAUGAAUAUUUAAAAAUAUGUGUUUUAAAAAUAAUUGUAUGUUUGUAUUUUAGACUAUAUCUAUAAUUCAGUGGUAAAAUCCAGAAAAACUGUGAGUGGAAACACAUUUUUUUUCAAAUGAACAUAGACCUUCAGUCAAGAGGACACCUGGAUGGCUCAGUCUGUUAAGUGUUUGACUUCAGCUCAGGUCAUUAUCUCACAGUUUUUGGGUUUAAGCCCCGUGUCAGUGUCUGUACUGACAGCUCGGAGCCUGGAGCCUGCUUUGGGUUCUGUGUUUCCCUCUCUUUCUGCCCUUCCCCCAUCCAUGCUCUUUCUCUCUCUCUCUCUCAAAAAUAAACAUUAAAAAGACAGGAAGUUAUUAUAAAUGAUAUCUAAGUUAAAGUUUAAAAAAACUUUUUGUAAAACAAAUGUGUAACACAGUAGGAUAAUAUGAUUCUUAAACACACACACACACACACACACACACACACACAACUAACUGAUAUGGUUUUGCUCUUUACUGCAGAGGAAUUGAGUUUCUUAGUCCAAGAUAGAUGGAUGGACAGAAUUGAUCUUCAAGAAAUACCACGGCUAGUAGGUAUUGCAUUCUCCACUGCAGUCUCUUCAGCAAGUGGUGCUGGGAAAACUGGACAGCGACAUGCAGAAGAAUGAACCUGGACCACUUUCUUACACCAUACACAAAAAUAAACUCAAAAUGGAUGAAAGACCUCA
Molecule: long non-coding RNA, 1036 nt
Filed under: Felis catus (domestic cat)
Lineage: Eukaryota; Metazoa; Chordata; Mammalia; Carnivora; Felidae
Description: lncRNA (ENSFCAG00000049793.1)
Source: RNAcentral